This 857-nucleotide ribosomal RNA is filed under the name Aquimarina sp. RNAcentral describes it as "bacterial SSU rRNA". It matches the Rfam family "Bacterial small subunit ribosomal RNA", at positions 19 to 874 of the family's 1533-position model. Lineage: Bacteria; Pseudomonadati; Bacteroidota; Flavobacteriia; Flavobacteriales; Flavobacteriaceae. The record is from RNAcentral.
CAGGCUCAGGAUGAACGCUAGCGGCAGGCUUAACACAUGCAAGUCGAGGGGUAACAUAGUUGCUUGCAACUGAUGACGACCGGCGCACGGGUGCGUAACGCGUAUAGUACCUACCUUAUAGUAAGGGAUAGCCCAGAGAAAUUUGGAUUAAUACCUUAUAGUAUCCUAAGUGAGCCUUCACUAAGGAUUAAAGAUUUAUCGCUAUAAGAUGGCUAUGCGUUCUAUUAGCUAGUUGGUAUGGUAACGGCAUACCAAGGCUACGAUAGAUAGGGGUCCUGAGAGGGAGAUCCCCCACACUGGUACUGAGACACGGACCAGACUCCUACGGGAGGCAGCAGUGAGGAAUAUUGGACAAUGGAGGCAACUCUGAUCCAGCCAUGCCGCGUGUAGGAAGACUGCCCUAUGGGUUGUAAACUACUUUUAUAGAGGAAGAAACCAUUUCACGUGUGAAAUGCUGACGGUACUCUACGAAUAAGGAUCGGCUAACUCCGUGCCAGCAGCCGCGGUAAUACGGAGGAUCCAAGCGUUAUCCGGAAUCAUUGGGUUUAAAGGGUCCGUAGGCGGUUUAGUAAGUCAGUGGUGAAAGUUUUCGGCUCAACCGGAAAAUUGCCAUUGAUACUGCAAGACUUGAAUUAUUGUGAAGUGGUUAGAAUGUGUAGUGUAGCGGUGAAAUGCAUAGAUAUUACACAGAAUACCGAUUGCGAAGGCAGAUCACUAACAAUUAAUUGACGCUAAGGGACGAAAGCGUGGGUAGCGAACAGGAUUAGAUACCCUGGUAGUCCACGCCGUAAACGAUGGUUACUAGCUGUUUGGACUUCGGUCUGAGUGGCUAAGCGAAAGUGAUAAGUAACCCACCU